CAGCAGUGGGGAAUAUUGCACAAUGGGCGCAAGCCUGAUGCAGCCAUGCCGCGUGUGUGAAGAAGGCCUUCGGGUUGUAAAGCACUUUCAGUCGUGAGGAAGGUAGUGUAGUUAAUAGCUGCAUUAUUUGACGUUAGCGACAGAAGAAGCACCGGCUAACUCCGUGCCAGCAGCCGCGGUAAUACGGAGGGUGCGAGCGUUAAUCGGAAUUACUGGGCGUAAAGCGCAUGCAGGUGGUUUGUUAAGUCAGAUGUGAAAGCCCCGGGGCUCAACCUCGGAAUAGCAUUUGAAACUGGCAGACUAGAGUACUGUAGAGGGGGUAGAAUUUCAGGUGUAGCGGUGAAAUGCGUAGAGAUCUGAAGGAAUACCGGUGGCGAAGGCGGCCCCCUGGACAGAUACUGACACUCAGAUGCGAAAGCGUGGGGAGCAAACAGGAUUAGAUACCCUGGUAG
RNAcentral lists this ribosomal RNA (452 nucleotides) under uncultured bacterium. Its description in RNAcentral is "bacterial SSU rRNA". It matches the Rfam family "Bacterial small subunit ribosomal RNA", at positions 349 to 793 of the family's 1533-position model. The record is from RNAcentral.